This is a long non-coding RNA of Acinonyx jubatus (cheetah), 1789 nucleotides long. RefSeq lists it as uncharacterized. The record is from RefSeq and is a predicted model, not a curated record. Lineage: Eukaryota; Metazoa; Chordata; Mammalia; Carnivora; Felidae. The transcript has 3 exons.
UCCAGAAUAUUCAGCUCUCAUGGCGCUUGCACAGCAACAUGCACUUCUGCCCCAAGCAACAGGGAGGGGUGGGCUCCGAGUUGCCCCCGGCAAGUAGGUGCUGAAACCCAGAACAGACAUACACCAGUUUACUCUGAACUUUCAGGAGGUGCAGCUCAAUCCUCUGCCUAACUGUUGGGAGAACCAGGAAUUGGGGAAAACGCUUCACGCCUAGCGCGCAGAUCUUCUAGAACCAUGUCAAGAAACAACGUCGUCUCCCCCUGUCUAUAGAUACUGGGAUUUCCUUUGCCCCCACAAGAAAGAAGUCAGCUCGUCUGCCCUGGCAUGUUCACAGUUACAUGGCUGCUCAGAUACUCCCAACAAUAGUCUAAGCCAGGCUUUAUGAUAUUAUAUGGACCCUGAUUAAUAAUAAAUCAAGUCCUGGAGACAAGGAGCCAGUUAAUCCAUUAGGUUUGUUCUUGGUUGCAUAGAAUGGAUGUCUUAGGAAUAGGCAUAUCAUAAUGGAAUUCAAAUCCCAGCUCUACAUCACAAUGGAUGAAUCAUGUUGGGAAGUGUGCCCUUUCAACAGGUAGAAACAGAAUCAAGGCCAUCCUACACUAUAAAAUGAAGAUAGUUAUUGAUUCCCUCCCGAACAUCCUUCCCUCCUCUAUGAUUCACAUAUACAAUAUUCGCUCGGGACCACAGAGUUCCUCCAGGAGUGCUAAUAACAAUAUGCCUGACCACAGUAGCAAACACUCACGCGGGAAUGUUAUUAGACCUCGGGCACCGUUCUAAGUAUAUCUGACUUUCACAGAAGCACCCUGAGAUUCUACACUCUCUGGGUGCUAAUUUGCCCUUGAGAUAUCCUAGCAGGCUUACGCCAAGCUCAACGGACCGGAGCCUCCCUUGUCCCAAGUUGGACCUACCCGUGGCGACACGUUUUGCUCGGAAGUUGAGGAAACAUGGAGCUAUUGCCAUCACUGGCAAAUCAGCUUUCGAUGAAAUAUUCAAGACAGCUAGAAGCUAAGCAGGAUAACUGAAUUCACAACCAUUUGCUACAGGACCAUAAUUUAAUGGCAGCAUUAUAAUUUGCUAAAUACCAUUACCGUGGCACCGGGUCCUAUUAAUCAAAAACAGGAAAAGCUGUACACAGCAAUUUUUCUUUACUAUUUGUAGUGGCUUAUUACUGGUGCUUACCUCUAGAGUAGAUGUUACCUUUUUAGCUUCCAUAAUCAAAUACUCUAAAAAUAAGUCAAAUUUGAUUACUUCCAAAUUCUUAAAAUCUAGUGCCUGCCUACUGAAGUAGAAUUCCUAAAUGUCUCCUUUGAAACAUUACAUUCGCCACAUAAAAUGGCAGCUCCCAAAAGAGCUACUAUUUUUAUAAAUCAAUAAGCAAUAAGAAUUAUGUACUGACAGGGCUGGAGGGGAAAGUGGGAGUGAGGGGUUCGUGUGUUUGGUCUAAAUGGAACAGUGGUCUUGCAACGAAGGUAUCAUUAUCAGUUUUCAGAGACCAAACAACUGGAGUUGAGAGUGGUCCAAGGUCAUCCGGUUAGUUUGGUGGGGAAUCCAAGGUAGGAGCCCAGCUCUCUGACACUGGACCUACAUGUUCUGUUUUAGUCUGCUCAGGCUAUCCUAACAAAAUGCCACAGACUGAGAGGCUGGCACAACAGACAUUUUUUUCUCUCAGUUCUGGAAGCUGGGAAGUCUAGGAUCGAGGUGCUGGCGGAUUUGAUACUUAGUGAGAGCCCACUUCCUGGCAUACAGACGGCAGCCUUCUUGCUAUGUCCUCAUACAGUAGACAGAGGAGGCU